RNAcentral lists this ribosomal RNA (119 nucleotides) under Pteropus alecto (black flying fox). Lineage: Eukaryota; Metazoa; Chordata; Mammalia; Chiroptera; Pteropodidae. The record is from RNAcentral.
GUCUACGACCAUGCUACCCUGAACAAGCCCGGUCCUGUCUGAUCUUGGAAGCUAAGUAGGAUUGGGCCUGGUUAAUACUUGGAUGGGAGACCACCUAGGAAGACCAGGUGCUGUAGGCA